RNAcentral lists this ribosomal RNA (253 nucleotides) under uncultured bacterium. Its description in RNAcentral is "partial 16S ribosomal RNA". It matches the Rfam family "Bacterial small subunit ribosomal RNA", at positions 524 to 776 of the family's 1533-position model. The record is from RNAcentral.
UACAGAGGUCUCAAGCGUUGUUCGGAUUCAUUGGGCGUAAAGGGUGCGUAGGUGGCGCGAUAAGUCGGGUGUGAAAUCUCGGAGCUUAACUCCGAAACUGCAUUCGAUACUGCCGUGCUUGAGGACUGGAGAGGAGACUGGAAUUUACGGUGUAGCGGUGAAAUGCGUAGAUAUCGUAAGGAAGACCAGUGGCGAAGGCGGGUCUCUGGACAGUUCCUGACGCUGAGGCACGAAGGUCAGGGGAGCAAACGGG